CGUACACUCCUACGGGAGGCAGCAGUGGGGAAUAUUGGACAAUGGGCGCAAGCCUGAUCCAGCCAUGCCGCGUGAGUGAUGAAGGCCCUAGGGUUGUAAAGCUCUUUCACCGGUGAAGAUAAUGACGGUAACCGGAGAAGAAGCCCCGGCUAACUUCGUGCCAGCAGCCGCGGUAAUACGAAGGGGGCUAGCGUUGUUCGGAUUUACUGGGCGUAAAGCGCACGUAGGCGGACUAUUAAGUCAGGGGUGAAAUCCCGGGGCUCAACCCCGGAACUGCCUUUGAUACUGGUAGUCUUGAGUUCGAGAGAGGUGAGUGGAAUUCCGAGUGUAGAGGUGAAAUUCGUAGAUAUUCGGAGGAACACCAGUGGCGAAGGCGGCUCACUGGCUCGAUACUGACGCUGAGGUGCGAAAGCGUGGGGAGCAAACAGGAUUAGAAACCCGAGUAGUCCC
This 450-nucleotide ribosomal RNA is filed under the name uncultured organism. RNAcentral's name for it is "partial 16S ribosomal RNA". It matches the Rfam family "Bacterial small subunit ribosomal RNA", at positions 330 to 797 of the family's 1533-position model. The record is from RNAcentral.